RNAcentral lists this long non-coding RNA (296 nucleotides) under Struthio camelus australis. Its description in RNAcentral is "lncRNA (ENSSCUG00000000355.1)". The record is from RNAcentral. Lineage: Eukaryota; Metazoa; Chordata; Aves; Struthioniformes; Struthionidae.
GAACUAUUGUUCCAGUUCUCGGAGAUCUCUGAAAGGAUUUUAUUCUGGAAUAAUAUUGCAGAUAGUUCAGGAACCAUGCUACCUGUUCUCUAACUGAACCAAGAACCAGACCCUGGAGCAGGACUGUGCUGGUACUGGUUGGCUGCAGGUCCACUGGAGUCCUAGCGUUGAGAGAGACCCUAAUAGGGAAAAGGCCAGCAGAAAAGCUCUCCUUCAAGUUAGCUUCCAUCUUCAUUCAAAGUCAAAUAAAUGUCUUAGAGAAGUUACAAAGAAAUAUCCUUCGGCAGAAAUACGGA